This 27-nucleotide non-coding RNA is filed under the name Homo sapiens (human). Lineage: Eukaryota; Metazoa; Chordata; Mammalia; Primates; Hominidae. The record is from RNAcentral.
UGGCAAGUCCACGCUGACAGACUCCCU